RNAcentral lists this transfer RNA (85 nucleotides) under Felis catus (domestic cat). It matches the Rfam family "tRNA". Rfam says of the family: Transfer RNA (tRNA) molecules are approximately 80 nucleotides in length. Lineage: Eukaryota; Metazoa; Chordata; Mammalia; Carnivora; Felidae. RNAcentral also lists the same sequence under 2 other names. The record is from Rfam by way of RNAcentral.
ACCUGGGUGGCUCAGUCUGUUGAGCGUCUGACUUCGGCUCAGGUCAUGAUCUCACCACCCAUGGGUUCAAGCCCCAUGUCGGGCU